This 916-nucleotide ribosomal RNA is filed under the name uncultured archaeon. RNAcentral's name for it is "bacterial SSU rRNA". It matches the Rfam family "Archaeal small subunit ribosomal RNA", at positions 1 to 922 of the family's 1478-position model. The record is from RNAcentral.
UUCCGGUUGAUCCUGCCGGAGGCUACCGCUAUUGGAGUUCGAUUAAGCCAUGCGAGUCGCGAGAAAUUAGAUUCUCGGCGUACCGCUCAGUAACACGUGGGUAACCUGCCCUAUGCUGGAUAAUAACCUCGGGAAACUGAGAAUAAUGAUCCAUAGUUCACUACGCCUGGAACGGUGAGUGGAUGAAAGCCCCGGCGGCAUAGGAUGGGCCUGCGGCGUAUCAGGUUGUAGGGGGUGUAACGUACCCUCUAGCCCUCUACGCGUACGGGUGUUGGGAGACAUAGCCCGGAGAUGGAUUCUGAGACACGAAUCCAGACCCUACGGGGUGCAGCAGGCGCGAAAACUUGGCAAUGCGAGAAAUCGUGACCAGGGAACUCCAAGUGCAUCGGGUAAGACCGGUGCUUUUCUUGACUCUAAAUAGGUCUUGGAAUAAGGGGUGGGUAAGGACGGUGCCAGCCGCCGCGGUAAUACCGGCGCCUCAAGUGGUAGUCGCUUUUAUUGGGCCUAAAACGUCCGUAGCCGGUCUGAUACAUUCGUGGGUAAAUCAACCAGCUCAACUGGUUGAAUUCUGCGAGGACGGUCAGACUUGGGACCGGGAGAGGUGUGGGGUACGCUCAGGGUAGGGGUAAAAUCCUGUCAUCCUGAGCGGACCACCUGUUGCGAAGGCGCCACACUAGAACGGAUCCGACGGUCAGGGACGAAGCCUAGGGGCACGAACCGGAUUAGAUACCCGGGUAGUCCUAGGUGUAAACGCUGUGGACUUGAUGUUGGGGACGCUCCGAGCGUUCUCAGUGUCGAAGCGAAGGUGAUAAGUCCACUGCCUGGGGAGUACGGUCGCAAGGCUGAAACUUAAAGGAAUUGGCGGGGGAGCACCGCAACCUGAGGAUUGUGCGGUUUAAUUGGAUUCAACGCCGGA